CGGAGCCUCGCGGCCGCCGCGCACGCUCGUUCCGUGCCCUCUGACGGCGUCUCCCCAUGGCUGACUCCGCUGUCCCUUUCUCUUCGGGCCCGAGUGCCCGGGCUUCCGGCACCUACCGACACGCUGCAGGUACGAGCGGGAGCCUCUUCAGGUACUAAACAGACAAGUGCCCUGAAGCCAGAAGAUGCUUCCAGAAGACGGGCAGAACUGGAAGCCGCGGUGCAGAGGAAGGUGGAGUUUGAGAGGAAAGCCCUGCGCAUCGUUGAGCAGCUUUUGGAAGAGAACAUCACUGAGGAAUUCCUAAAGGAGUGUGGGAUGUUCAUCACACCGGCUCACUACAGCGACGUCGUGGACGAGCGGUCCAUCGUUAAACUCUGCGGCUAUCCUUUAUGUCAGAAGAAGCUAGGAGUCAUCCCUAAACAGAGGUAUAGAAUUUCUACUAAAACCAAUAAAGUCUAUGAUAUUACUGAAAGAAAGUCUUUCUGCAGCAACUUUUGUUACAGAGCAUCUAAAUUUUUUGAAACACAAAUUCCCAGAACUCCAGUAUGGGUCCGAGAGGAAGAAAGGCCUCCUGAUUUUCAGCUGUUGAAAGAAGGACAAAGUGGCCGUUCUGGAGAAGUAGUGCAGUUUUUCAAUGACGCCAUUACGACAGCGGAUAUUGACCGUCCUGGAGCCUGUGAAGCACAGAGUGCGCCACCGCCUCCCAGCACGUGGAGCGAGCACACGAGCGAUGAUGAGCAAGGCUUCGUCUCCUCGCUUCUCCCAGGAAACAGACCAAAGGCAGCAGAUUCGAGGCCACAGCCUCGCAAGCAAAGCAGCAUAAGGAAAAAGAAAGCCGGUCAGAAAGUGGAUUCCGAGCACAGAGAGCAGACGGUGGCCGAUGUCACUGAGCAGCUGGGUAACUGCAGCUUGGGCAGUCAGGAGGAAGCCUGUGAAUUUCCCUCAGAGAAAGAAGACUCUCAGAUUUCUUCACCCGGCCCGUCACGUGAAGGGCUGCACAGCUUAGCAGUUCCUGACGACAGGAGUAGUGUGCCGGGGGUCACUCUUGUGGGGAUUAGCAAGAAAAGUGCUGAGCAUUUCAGGACCAAGUUUGCCAGAUCUAACCAAGGUUCCGGGUCAGCCUCGGGCCCGGUGCAGGUGUGCCCUGAGGUUGCAAAGGCAAACUUACUCCGAGUUCUAAAGGACACCUUGACUGAAUGGAAGACAGAAGAGACACUGACGUUCUUGUACGGCCAAGAUCAUGCCUCUGUGUGCCUGAAACGGUCUUCAGCCCCUGUGCCUGGUGAAGAACUCGAUGAAGAUGACAUAAGCUGUGAGGCGGGUAUUUGUGGUCCUGCCCCGAGCCAACCUCAGAACAACCUGGAUGAGACGCUACCCGUUAGAGGCUCAGGCACGGCCAUUAAGCCAGUGCCGAGCUACGAGAGCUUGAAAAAAGAAACUGAGAUGCUGAACCUGAGGGUCAGGGAGUUCUACAGAGGACGCUAUAUCUUAAACGAAGAAACGACCAAGUCGCAGGACCCAGGAGAGAAUGUGUUUCAGCGUGAUCCCAGCUUCCCACUGAUUGAUUCAAGUUCCCAGAACCAGAUUAGAAAACGGAUUGUUCUUGAAAAAUUGAGCAAAGUGUUACCUGGACUUUUGGGUCCUCUUCAGAUUACAAUGGGCGAUGUUUACUCUGAACUUAAAAACCUUGUGCAGACUUUCAGAUUGUCAAAUCGGAACAUCAUACACAAGCCCGUGGAAUGGACUUUAAUCGCUGUGGUGCUGCUGACAUUAUUGACACCAAUUCUUGGCAUUCAGAAGCAUUCUCCGAAAAAUGUGGUCUUUACACAGUUCAUAGCCACCCUGUUGGCAGAACUACAUUUAAAAUGUGAAGAUCUUGAAAAUUUAACCAUCAUAUUUAGAACCAGCUGCUAAGGAAUGUGUCUCCCUUUGAAGAGCAGCAGUCCUGGUUCAGACAUCCCAGGACGUUCUCAGGCUGGCCCGCUGGUUCCACCUGACCGGGUUUCUUCCCAGCAAGCAGCAGUUCACCGCAGUAGCCCAUCACGAGCCUUCUCGGUCCCCUGCCCCUCUUCUGGGCCAGCAUCUUAGUUACCUCAGUGCAGACAAACAGAUAUAAUUCAGGAAGAUACAAAAUGAAUUCUACUCACCAUAUCUGGAAUUUUACACAGUGAGGAUCCAUGAGUGACUGACGGAGAGUAUAACUUCGUCAGGAGAGCCAUGACCCCAGCAGGAAGAAGGAGAACCUCAAAACACAGAAUCUUGCCAGGCGUUGGUGGCGCACGCCUUUAAUCCCAGCACUCGGGAGGCAGAGGCAGGUGGAUCUCUGUGAGUUCUAGGCCAGCCUCCAAAACAAUACAGAGAAACCCUGUCUCGAAAAAAACCAAAACAAACAAACAAACAAAAAAACUGAAACUUGAAUGAAUAUUCAAGAAGAUGCAAUUAUCUUUGUUUUUUUUUGGGGGGGGGGUUUAUUACAGCCAGAAGAUUAUAAUUUUGGCAGUUGUAAAUGCUAUCAUACAAGUAACAACAAAAGUUAGGUCAAUAAAUGUGACCUUCAAUGAA
RNA transcript from Mesocricetus auratus (golden hamster), 2562 nucleotides. It is a transcript of the gene named RNA polymerase II associated protein 2, with no coding region annotated. The transcript has 14 exons. The record is from RefSeq and is a predicted model, not a curated record. Lineage: Eukaryota; Metazoa; Chordata; Mammalia; Rodentia; Cricetidae.